GGACCCGCACAAGCGGUGGAUGAUGUGGAUCAAUUCGAUGCAACGCGAAGAACCUUACCUACCCUUGACAUGCCAGGAAGCCCGAUGAGAGUCGGGUGUGCCCGAAAGGGAGCCUGGACACAGGUGCUGCAUGGCUGUCGUCAGCUCGUGUCGUGAGAUGUUGGGUUAAGUCCCGCAACGAGCGCAACCCUUGUCACUAGUUGCUACGGAAACGGGCACUCUAGUGAGACUGCCGGUGACAAACCGGAGGAAGGUGGGGAUGACGUCAAGUCCUCAUGGCCCUUAUGGGUAGGGCUUCACACGUCAUACAAUGGCGCAUACAGAGGGCUGCCAACCCGCGAGGGGGAGCCAAUCCCAGAAAGUGCGUCGUAGUCCGGAUUGCAGUCUGCAACUCGACUGCAUGAAGUCGGAAUCGCUAGUAAUCGCGGAUCAGCAAUGUCGCGGUGAAUACGUUCCCGGGUCUU
This 464-nucleotide ribosomal RNA is filed under the name uncultured bacterium. RNAcentral's name for it is "bacterial SSU rRNA". It matches the Rfam family "Bacterial small subunit ribosomal RNA", at positions 917 to 1382 of the family's 1533-position model. The record is from RNAcentral.